RNAcentral lists this ribosomal RNA (1185 nucleotides) under Micrococcus luteus. RNAcentral's name for it is "bacterial SSU rRNA". It matches the Rfam family "Bacterial small subunit ribosomal RNA", at positions 56 to 1252 of the family's 1533-position model. Lineage: Bacteria; Bacillati; Actinomycetota; Actinomycetes; Micrococcales; Micrococcaceae. The record is from RNAcentral.
UGCAAGUCGAACGAUGAAGCCCAGCUUGCUGGGUGGAUUAGUGGCGAACGGGUGAGUAACACGUGAGUAACCUGCCCUUAACUCUGGGAUAAGCCUGGGAAACUGGGUCUAAUACCGGAUAGGAGCGUCCACCGCAUGGUGGGUGUUGGAAAGAUUUAUCGGUUUUGGAUGGACUCGCGGCCUAUCAGCUUGUUGGUGAGGUAAUGGCUCACCAAGGCGACGACGGGUAGCCGGCCUGAGAGGGUGACCGGCCACACUGGGACUGAGACACGGCCCAGACUCCUACGGGAGGCAGCAGUGGGGAAUAUUGCACAAUGGGCGAAAGCCUGAUGCAGCGACGCCGCGUGAGGGAUGACGGCCUUCGGGUUGUAAACCUCUUUCAGUAGGGAAGAAGCGAAAGUGACGGUACCUGCAGAAGAAGCACCGGCUAACUACGUGCCAGCAGCCGCGGUAAUACGUAGGGUGCGAGCGUUAUCCGGAAUUAUUGGGCGUAAAGAGCUCGUAGGCGGUUUGUCGCGUCUGUCGUGAAAGUCCGGGGCUUAACCCCGGAUCUGCGGUGGGUACGGGCAGACUAGAGUGCAGUAGGGGAGACUGGAAUUCCUGGUGUAGCGGUGGAAUGCGCAGAUAUCAGGAGGAACACCGAUGGCGAAGGCAGGUCUCUGGGCUGUAACUGACGCUGAGGAGCGAAAGCAUGGGGAGCGAACAGGAUUAGAUACCCUGGUAGUCCAUGCCGUAAACGUUGGGCACUAGGUGUGGGGACCAUUCCACGGUUUCCGCGCCGCAGCUAACGCAUUAAGUGCCCCGCCUGGGGAGUACGGCCGCAAGGCUAAAACUCAAAGGAAUUGACGGGGGCCCGCACAAGCGGCGGAGCAUGCGGAUUAAUUCGAUGCAACGCGAAGAACCUUACCAAGGCUUGACAUGUUCUCGAUCGCCGUAGAGAUACGGUUUCCCCUUUGGGGCGGGUUCACAGGUGGUGCAUGGUUGUCGUCAGCUCGUGUCGUGAGAUGUUGGGUUAAGUCCCGCAACGAGCGCAACCCUCGUUCCAUGUUGCCAGCACGUCCUGGUGGGGACUCAUGGGAGACUGCCGGGGUCAACUCGGAGGAAGGUGAGGACGACGUCAAAUCAUCAUGCCCCUUAUGUCUUGGGCUUCACGCAUGCUACAAUGGCCGGUACAAUGGGUUGCGA